RNAcentral lists this small nuclear RNA (252 nucleotides) under Dryobates pubescens (Downy woodpecker). RNAcentral's name for it is "Picoides pubescens (downy woodpecker) 7SK RNA". The stretch from base 1 to 190 matches the Rfam family "7SK RNA". Rfam says of the family: 7SK was discovered as an abundant small nuclear RNA in the mid-70s but a possible function has only recently been suggested. Two independent studies have found that 7SK RNA binds the CDK9/cyclin T complex (known as elongation factor P-TEFb). The record is from Rfam by way of RNAcentral. Lineage: Eukaryota; Metazoa; Chordata; Aves; Piciformes; Picidae.
AUCUCCAGGUUGCAGCUUUCCUCCUGAAGCUGCACACUUGGUAGAAGAGGAUGACCUUCCCUGAUAGAGAUGUUACUUCUCAUCACUCAAGGGUAUACGGUAGCUGCACUCCCCUGCCAGAACCUCCAAACGAACUCCAGUCUGUAGCUUACCAUGGGGUUGUUGUGACCCGGGUACAGGACCUGGCAUCUUGGCCCUGUUGAACUUCAUACACAUAGCCUUGGCCCACCUCCCUGGGCAGUGUGUUCCAGG